GAACAAGUCAGUUGAUGUCUUCAAGUGUUACAUAGCACCUGUUUUAUGUGAUUAUGCACAGAAGAUAAUGUUUGAUCGUGAACUGUAAAAGGCACUGAUCAAACUGCCCCCUACUUCAGGGAUAUGUCAAACAUUUGGGUCUCAAAAUGCUUGCUUCUCUUCAACUUUGAUGUUUAUCUCCUGUGAUUUACUAUCUUCUUCAACGAACAAGCUCACUCUGGCCUGGUGACCAGCCCUUUGACUAUUAUCUCCCAUAGAUGAUGUCUUCAUCCAC
RNAcentral lists this long non-coding RNA (274 nucleotides) under Fukomys damarensis (Damara mole-rat). RNAcentral describes it as "lncRNA (ENSFDAG00000031287.1)". The record is from RNAcentral. Lineage: Eukaryota; Metazoa; Chordata; Mammalia; Rodentia; Bathyergidae.